Molecule: ribosomal RNA, 934 nt
Filed under: uncultured euryarchaeote
Lineage: Archaea; Methanobacteriati; Methanobacteriota
Description: bacterial SSU rRNA
Rfam family: Archaeal small subunit ribosomal RNA
Source: RNAcentral
GCGGUAAUACCAGCAGCUCGAGUGGUGGCCGUUAUUAUUGGGCCUAAAGCGUCCGUAGCCGGUCCGGUAAAUCUUUGGGUAAAUCGAUGGGCUUAACUCAUCGAAUUCCGAAGAGACUGCCGGACUUGGGACUGGGAGAGGUCGGAGGUACUCUAGGGGUAGGGGUGAAAUCCUGUAAUCCUUAGAGGACCACCAGUGGCGAAGGCGUCCGACUAGAACGGGUCCGACGGUCAGGGACGAAGCCGUGGGUCGCGAACCGGAUUAGAUACCCGGGUAGUCCACGGUGUAAACGCUGCAGGCUUGGUGUUGGGGGUCCUACGAGGGCGUCCAGUGCCGGAGAGAAGUUGUUAAGCCUGCCGCCUGGGGAGUACGAUCGCAAGAUUGAAACUUAAAGGAAUUGGCGGGGGAGCACAGCAACGGGUGGAGCGUGCGGUUUAAUUGGAUUCAACGCCGGAAAACUCACCGGGGGCGACUGUUAUAUGUGGGCCAGACUAAUGAUCUUGCCUGAAUUUCAGAGAGGUGGUGCAUGGCCGCCGUCAGUUCGUACCGUAAGGCGUUCUGUUAAGUCAGACAACGAACGAGACCCCUGCCUCUAAUUGCUAUUACUCUCUCCGGAGGGUAAGGACAUUAGAGGGACCGCUGGCGCUAAGUCAGAGGAAGGAGGGGGCAACGGUGGGUCAGUAUGCCCCGAAUCUCCCGGGCUACACGCGCGCUACAAAGGAUGGGACAAUGGGCUCCGACCCCGAAAGGGGAGGGUAAUCCCGAAACCCAUUCAUAGUUCGGAUUGAGGGCUGUAACUCGCCCUCAUGAAGCUGGAAUCCGUAGUAAUCGCGGGUCAACAUCCCGCGGUGAAUAUGCCCCUGCUCCUUGCACACACCGCCCGUCAAACCAUCUGAGUUGGGUUCGGAUGAGGGCUUCUCUACCUGGGGAGUCG